RNAcentral lists this small RNA (2494 nucleotides) under Pongo abelii (Sumatran orangutan). RNAcentral's name for it is "retained intron". The record is from RNAcentral. Lineage: Eukaryota; Metazoa; Chordata; Mammalia; Primates; Hominidae.
CUCACUCGGUCGGUUCCUCGGGCGAGUUACGGGGACGACCUGCGGGAGCACGCGGGCAGUGGCCGGACGCUGAAGCCCAGGAGAGCGAUGGAGACGCAUGCGGAGGCUGGGAAGGAAGGCAAGCCUUCCUGUGCAUCGGUGGAUCUGCAGGGAGACAGCUCCUUACAGGUGGAGAUUUCUGACGCAGUGAGUGAGCGGGACAAGGUGAAAUUCACUGUUCAAACCAAGAGCUGCCUCCCUCACUUCGCCCAGACCGAGUUCUCAGUCGUGCGGCAGCACGAGGAGUUCAUCUGGCUGCAUGAUGCCUACGUGGAGAACGAGGAGUACGCCGGCCUCAUCAUCCCCCCAGCCCCUCCGAGGCCAGACUUUGAGGCUUCGAGGGAAAAGCUACAGAAAUUGGGCGAGGGGGACAGCUCUGUCACUCGGGAAGAGUUUGCCAAGAUGAAGCAGGAGCUGGAAGCGGAGUACCUGGCCAUCUUUAAGAAGACAGUUGCGAUGCACGAAGUCUUUCUGCAGCGCCUGGCGGCCCACCCCACCCUGUGUCGAGACCACAACUUCUUUGUGUUUUUGGAAUAUGGACAGGAUCUGAGUGUCCGGGGGAAGAACAGGAAGGAGAUCCUCGGAGGGUUUCUGCGGAAUAUCGUGAAGUCCGCGGAUGAAGCCCUCAUCACGGGCAUGUCAGGGCUCAAGGAGGUGGAUGACUUCUUUGAGCAUGAGAGGACCUUCCUGUUGGAGUAUCACACCCGUAUCCGAGAUGCCUGCCUGCGGGCCGACCGCGUCAUGCGCGCCCACAAGUGUACGCAGGGCCCAAGGGGUCCUGGAUCCCCCUGCCCCUCUCCCCAGUGGUUCAACUCCUUGGGGGAGAGAAGAGAGCAGGGCAUGCCUUGUUGUUUGUCAGUGGCCACAAGCACCAGGGCUUGACGUGCAGAUGUAGGGGCUCUGAUGGGGGCUGUUCCCCAACAGGCCUGGCAGACGAUUAUAUCCCUAUCUCAGCUGCGCUGAGCAGUCUGGGAACACAGGAAGUCAACCAGCUAAGGACGUGAGGACUCCCCCCACUCCUACCCUCUCCCUAUGCCUGUAAUACCAUGUCUUCCCAUGAGGGGUCACUCUGUAGAUGUCUACUGUCAGCUCUAGGUGGGAGGUGUAGGCUCUCCUGUUGGGGGAGGGUGUUGGGAGAGAAAGGGGAACGGGAGAUUCCCAAGGAGGGGCUGAGACAGAGAGGCUUUGAGCUGUUCCUCAGCCCCCUACCCUAACUCCCUCCCUACUGCUUCCUAGGAGCUUCCUCAAACUGGCAGAGCUCUUUGAACGGCUGAGGAAGCUGGAGGGCCGGGUGGCUUCCGAUGAGGACCUGAAGCUGUCGGACAUGCUGAGGUAUUACAUGCGUGACUCACAGGCAGCCAAGGUGAGAGGCAGCCCCAGCGCAGCGCUCAGGCCUGGAGGCCAGGACAGGGCAGCAGUGACCCUGUGCCCAUGGUUCUAGGACCUGCUGUACCGGCGGCUGCGGGCACUGGCCGACUACGAGAAUGCCAACAAGGCACUGGACAAGGCGCGCACCAGGAACCGGGAGGUGCGGCCGGCCGAGAGCCACCAGCAGCUGUGCUGCCAACGCUUCGAGCGCCUCUCCGACUCCGCCAAGCAAGAGCUCACGGACUUCAAGUCCCGCCGGGUCUCCUCUUUUCGAAAGAAUCUCAUUGAGCUGGCAGAGCUGGAGCUCAAACACGCCAAGGCAGAAGAGCACCGCCUUCUUGCGCUUCUUCACUUCCUCUGGCGUUGAAGACUUACGCACCUUCAUGUCGUUGAACACCUUGAUGACACCAUCAGAGACAGCCACACCGGAGGCCUAGGAGACAUGCCACGUAUACCUCAUCAAGAAAAGGAUUCCAGGGAACUGCCCCUUGUUUUCUCAGAAGAUCCCAGUCCACGUCCCGAGUGGUCACUAGUGCCCUUCCCAAGGCAAGUCACUAGUUUUCCUACCCAAGCCACUGUCAAAGAACCAGAUGGGACACAACCUCAGAAUGGCAGCCAUGGCCUCUGAUCACCUAGUUCAACAACCCCUUCCCUCACUUUACAGGAUAGAAAUGGAAAACUCGUGAAAAGCACAGCCUUGACCAAAAUGUGAACCCAGAAUUAAAAGAUCCACCAGCUACUGACUCACUUGCUACUCACAGUACUUGCUCUCAGCCUUUGGAUAAAACUGGUGACUUAGAACUUCAGAUAUGGAGGACCCAAACACCUGAGCCAAGACUCCUCUUCAGAAAGAGCCAAGACCCCACAAUGCUAGAUGGGACCCCAAGGACACCGAACAGUUACAACAAACCCACCAGAACUGCUUAAUACAGUUACUACACAAACGACCCCUGUUCCCAGCUAGGCUCUUUCCCAACCAAGACAAGAAUCGCAACCCCCAAUAAGGACCCUGCCCGACAACUCCCUUCUUCCGGGAAUGGUGCUAGGCCCCAGAAGUCGCUGAUAAAAAUUAACACGCCAAACUCAA